This 478-nucleotide ribosomal RNA is filed under the name Escherichia coli. Its description in RNAcentral is "partial 23S ribosomal RNA". It matches the Rfam family "Bacterial large subunit ribosomal RNA", at positions 523 to 1001 of the family's 2925-position model. Lineage: Bacteria; Pseudomonadati; Pseudomonadota; Gammaproteobacteria; Enterobacterales; Enterobacteriaceae. The record is from RNAcentral.
ACCCCGGCGAGGGGAGUGAAAAAGAACCUGAAACCGUGUACGUACAAGCAGUGGGAGCACGCUUAGGCGUGUGACUGCGUACCUUUUGUAUAAUGGGUCAGCGACUUAUAUUCUGUAGCAAGGUUAACCGAAUAGGGGAGCCGAAGGGAAACCGAGUCUUAACUGGGCGUUAAGUUGCAGGGUAUAGACCCGAAACCCGGUGAUCUAGCCAUGGGCAGGUUGAAGGUUGGGUAACACUAACUGGAGGACCGAACCGACUAAUGUUGAAAAAUUAGCGGAUGACUUGUGGCUGGGGGUGAAAGGCCAAUCAAACCGGGAGAUAGCUGGUUCUCCCCGAAAGCUAUUUAGGUAGCGCCUCGUGAAUUCAUCUCCGGGGGUAGAGCACUGUUUCGGCAAGGGGGUCAUCCCGACUUACCAACCCGAUGCAAACUGCGAAUACCGGAGAAUGUUAUCACGGGAGACACACGGCGGGUGCUAA